Molecule: unclassified non-coding RNA, 2549 nt
Filed under: Hevea brasiliensis (rubber tree)
Lineage: Eukaryota; Viridiplantae; Streptophyta; Magnoliopsida; Malpighiales; Euphorbiaceae
Source: RNAcentral
UAAAAUCACUGUAAUUUUUAGAGACUGCACGGGAGCUGUGCAGUGUGCACGAUGCACCUCCUUCCCUUUUCAGCGUCUCUACAGUUACCCACAAACAAACGUCUAGCAGAGCAGCUGAUUUCCUUGCUACGCCACUGCUCCACUCUCAAGCACAUAGAGCAAACACAUGGGUUCAUGGUUACCAGAGGGCUGGACCAUGACAACUUCCUUCUCAGCCGAUUCAUCGGUGCCUGUUCCUCUCUGGGCCUUUCUCCCUAUGCCUAUUCAGUCUUCACCCGCAAAGCAGAACCUGACAUCUAUCUUUACAACACUAUGAUCAGGGCUCUCUCUUUCUCUCAAAAACCACCCAAGGCUGCCAUCCUUCUUUUCAACAACAUACAGUCCGCGGGCUUGCGACCUGACUCUUAUUCCUACCCUUUUGUGUUAAAGGCCGUCAUUCGAUUGUUAGCUACUCAAACAGGGAGGCAAAUUCAUUGCCAAACAAUUGGCGUUGGCUUAGACUCUGAUCUUCAUGUCGUCACUGCCCUUAUUCAGAUGUACUCUUCUUGUGGUUGCGGUUGUAUUUCUGAUGCUCGCAAGCUGUUUGAUGGGGUAUGCCUGAGAAUAAGAGAUGCGAUAAUGUGGAACGCAAUGGUUGCUGGUUAUGCCAAGCUGGGUGACAUGGAAAAUGCUCAACACCUUUUUGAUUGCAUGCCUGAAAGAAAUGUGAUUUCUUGGACGGCUGUGAUUUCUGGGUAUGCUCAGAUGAACCGGCCCCACCAAGCAAUUGCCAUCUUACGGAGAAUGCAGCUUGAAAAUGUGGAGCCUGAUGAAAUUACAAUGUUGGCUGCACUUUCUGCAUGUGGCCAUUUGGGUGCCUUAGAAUUGGGUGAGUGGAUUCAUAGCUACAUUGACAAACAUGAAUUAAGUAGAACUGUUCCUCUUAAUAAUGCACUUAUAGACAUGUAUGCAAAGUCAGGGAAUAUCAAAAAGGCAUUAAAAGUGUUUGAGAACAUGAAGCGUAAAAGUAUCAUAACGUGGACAACUAUGAUUUCUGGACUAGCUCUGCAUGGACUUGGAAGGGAAGCUCUUGAAUUGUUCUCUUGCAUGGAAAGGGCUAGAGUUAAACCUAAUGAUGUUACUUUCAUUGCCAUCCUUUCUGCUUGUAGCCAUGCCGGAUUGGUUCAAAUCGGUCAAUCAUUUUUUAGUAAUAUGAGAUCGAGGUAUGGGAUUGAACCUAAGAUUGAGCACUUUGGUUGCGUGAUAGAUUUACUUGGGCGUGCUGGUUAUCUCCAAGAGGCGCGAGAACUGCUUGGACAGAUGCCACUUGAGCCAAAUGCAGCUAUAUGGGGAUCUCUUCUUGCUGCUGCUUAUACUCAUGGUGAUGCUGUGCUCGGAGAGCGCGCAUUGCAGCACCUGAUUAAGUUGGAGCCCGAUAACAGUGGAAACUACGCACUUUUAUCUAAUAUAUAUGCUUCUUGUGAUAGGUGGAAAGCUUCCAGGCUGAUGAGGACAGUGAUGAGGGACAAAGGUGUUAGGAAGAUGCCAGGAGGAAGUUUCAUUGAAGUGAAAAAUAGAGUUAAUGAAUUUAUUGCGGGACAGACAUCACAUGCUCAAUUUGAUGAGAUAUAUGAAGUUCUAUGCAAUAUAAAUGGGCAAUUAAGACUUGCCGAGCAUUUGCAAAGAGAAUGUGAUGAGUUGCUUGAACAUGGUCAGGGAUAGGAUGUUGUACUUUUGACCAUAUGGGAUCUGUUUCCAAGCCAAAUUCUGCUAGGAAUGGGUAAAUUAAAGUUGUGGCCACCUGAGACGCUAUCCUUACCUUGCCUGUUCGACAGCUGAGUCAUUAAACUUACAAUUAGAUGUUUCUUUCUACUGGACUUAGAUAAGUUUAUGGAUGUCAUCAAAUGGAUUAGGAUUUGUUUUACUGUGGAGGCAGCUGGGAACUGUUUUUACUUCAUAACAUCCUCUUCUUGACUUGAUAAUUGAUAUCCUUCAUGCGAGUGGAGCAUUGCAGAACCAUUGAAUGUUUUCCAUCUCAAUAACAUGAGGUACGCAGCUGUAAAAUCUCAAUGUUUUUCAUGCUGCUGGUAGAUUUUCAGACACACACGCACAUAUCCUCUCUCUACUCUUUAUUCUGUUUCUGACAAUUGAAGUGUUAUGAUAAAUGUUAUCUAGCGUAGAAAGUAGCAUACAGAAUUGGCAACUUUAAUCAGAAAAAUAAAUGUAUAGAACAUUUGUAUUCAUUUGAUCUACUAAAUUCUUUGAAGCAGCUGAUGAUAAGAUCCUUUUGGCAUUGAAAUACGUUAAGGAGCUAAAGAGAUAGUUAAUGCAUUUCGUGACUAUGUCAGCCUCAGCUCUUGGAAUAAUAAUUUAAGCCUUUCCCAGAAGUCAAUUGUUUUAGGGAUUUAGUUUUGUUUUAUCUGUUGGUUAUUCUUCCCAAAUGCCAGUGCAAAUUAGGGUUACUGAAUAGGUGUGAAGUGUUCUAUAUGAUGCUCAUAUGCUAUUAGACUGGAUUCAACAGCGGCAGAACAAGAAAACUUUUAUUGUUGUGUUUUGUAUGUGUGUUUUUU